Molecule: ribosomal RNA, 234 nt
Filed under: Triticum aestivum (bread wheat)
Lineage: Eukaryota; Viridiplantae; Streptophyta; Magnoliopsida; Poales; Poaceae
Description: partial small subunit ribosomal RNA
Source: RNAcentral
AUGGCCAUCCAGCAUCUCCUCCUCGUCGUCUUCAUGGCUUCCAUCCUCCAAGCGGCCACCUGUGACACAGCGUACGACCUUUUGGUGAAAAACAACUUCCCGCAGGCUCUUCUGCCUCUGGGCGUGAAGUCAUACGUGAACCAUGGGGGCGCUGUUGAGGUGACCCUCCCCACCUCGUGCGACUUCAACGUCAUAGUUGCUGGCGGACAACACACCUCCAGUUUGACAGCAUAG